ACUGCGCUUCCGUCGCACAGAGCCUGACGAAGGCUUGGGCUCCCCGCGCGGUGACCGUCGAGGUGACCUGCACCUGGCUCCAUGGCGGAACCGGCCGGCACGGAUUAUUCCCCUCUCGGGAGAGGUCUGCAGCCGGGCCUCAGUGCUUCAGUUCGUGGCCUGGCAUUUUGUGUCAGUGUUUUUUAACCUUUGGACCCUAGUUCAACCGACUCCGAGACCUAGGGGACAGAUCUUAAGUUUUACAAUAACCCAGGGGUCAGACAGGGUCUGAUCUAGCCUGUGGGGCAAGUACGGGGAAGACACGGGACCUCUUGGAGGGGGUCAGUAGGCUUGUAGGGGGAAAGACGCACACAGAGACUAAAGGACGAGAUGGAGCAAGGUUCAACCCCCUAGCUGAGUGUUGGCAGUGUCGGGAUUUUAACGAAGACAUUGGUGCUUAUUAUGGUGAGGGGACUCAGGACAGUUUAGGGGAAGAGAGUGGCAUUUGAGUCCUAACUCGUAAGGAAGACUGGGUAGGACUACUUGAAAAUAACUUUUAAAAAUUAAUUAUAAAGCUGGUAAAAAUAGGAAAACAUCUAUGGCCCCACUGUCCAAAGACGACUUUUAACUUCUUGGAGAAUAUCCUUUCAGAUAGUUGUCUUUGUAAAUGUAUACUUUUAAUGUUUUUUCGUUUGCCUUUUUAAAAUAAAUUUUUUGGGGGACAGGGUCUUGCUCUGUUACCCAGGCUGUAGUGCAGUAGAACGAUUAUAGCUCAUUGCAACCCGGACGUCCUGGGUUCAAGCUAUCCUCACCUCUCAGCCUCUCGACUGGCUAGGACCACAGCCUCGAGCCAUCAUGUCUGGCUAAUUUUUACGUUUUUUUGUAGAGAUGGGGGUCUCGCUGUGUUGUCCAGGCUGGUCUUAAACUCCUUGCUUCAACAGAUCCUCCCACUCCAGCCUCCCAAAAUGUGAUUACAGGCUGAGUCACCACGCCUAGCAUGGUUUUUUUUGUUUUGUUUGUUUUGUAAGCAAAAUUGACAUACAUACUGGAGGUACAAUUCUGUAGCUGGCCUUCUUUACAGAGUUUAGAAUAAAUGUCUUUCCAUGUCAAGUUUUCACUUACAUCCUUUGUAGUAGUUGCAAAAUAUUCCAUUUUAUAGCUGUAUCUUAAUUGUGGAUUAAGGUUGGAGUGCAGUGGCACUAUCAUGGCUUAGUCCAGCCUCAGCCUUCUAGGUUCAAGCGAUCUUCCCACCUCAGCCUCCCAAGAAGCUGGGACUACAGGGACCCGCCACCCCACCUAGCUAAUUAAAAAAAAAAUUGUAGAGAUGGAGUCUCAGUGUGUAGCCCAGUCUCAAGUGACCCUCCCUCGUUGGCUUCCCAAAGCGCUGAGAUUGCAGGAAGAGUGUCUUCAUCUCUGCAUCCCUAGUGCAACAGAGCAUGACAAAAAUUCAACAAAUAUUUAUUGAAGAGUCUUGAUGUCUUUUGGGAAAGGAACUCUAUGGUUACCUUUACUCUAAGGUAAAGAAAUUUAGGUCCUGAACUUUAACCACCUUCUCCUCUUCUUUCUUCCCUCUUUCAUAAAUGAGCUCUUGGAAAAUUAAAAUGCCAGGAGGGUCCAGCAGAGAAUACCCAAGCCCACAUGUCCUGAUGGGAAGUGGGGGAUAAGUAGAGAGGGAAACACAGACCCUGUAGGCCAUCUCACUGCUGCUGGCCCAGGGGACCCUAACUCCUUUUGUUGACUCAUCAGAAGUAGAAUCCUCCUGAGGGUCUGUUUAAGAAGCACAGCUCUGGUAGAAAGGGUAGCUUUCCUAUGGGUACGGAGGGCUCUGCUACCCCAGGGCUAUCCACACUGGCCUGUGAAUCACUCUCAAAUGCUUAGGGUCACGGGCUUUCAGUGGAAUGAGCCCUCAUGUGCCACCAGGGGGCACCAAGGCCACAGAAAACCCUAUUCAGAAGGUUCUGGGGUGAGGGAAAGGAAUCCACGGGUUUGUGGAGCUGGCGGAGCAUGGGUGAGGACAGCAUUAUGCUAGGUUGGUGGCCUUGAAGUCAGAUGUAAAUUGGGAUCCUGGCUUGGCCACUGACUAUCCAUGGGAACUUUGAAUCUCAGGGGGCUCAUUUGUGAUGUGGGGGUACCAUUAUCUGCCUCAUCAGGUUGUGGGGAGGAUUAUAUGAGAUACCUUAUGUAAGAGGGGCUGGUGCAUUGUGGAAGUCAACAAGUAAGUUUUGUUAAAUUUGAGUAAGAAGACCUGUUUGUUUCCUCAAGUUGCUUAUAAUCUAGGUGAGGACACAUCUGAGAGAAUAACUAAUAGUUCAGUGAAGGUAAGAGCCAAAUGAUUGGCACAGACCUCAAGUGGUCUGGCAUUUACGGGAGAGGGGGAUUGUGAAACAGGAAUUGAAAGAAAUUUAAAAAUGCAUAAGCAAAAACUCAGUUUAUGUUUUAAAAAAACCAAUUCCCCCUGAGAAAGAGAAAGAGGUGGAGUCCUUUAAAAAUUAUCUGCUUGUUUUUCUGUCUGUGGCUAGUGAGCCUUAUCUCUCCCUUUCCCAGGCAUUGUGAAGACCCUGUUUCUCUAGCUGUGCAGCUGCAAGGUCACUAGGCAGAUAAACUCAAGCCAUAAAACAUGUUUUUCCUUGAAAAGUAAGAAAUAAUGUAAUGCAUGUGUCAAAUGAAUAACUAUUUCUCGCUUCUGUAAUAUGCUUCCCUUCGCACAGAUCUCCCCCUGCCCCAUGAAAUGCUUUAAAGGUAACUUA
Long non-coding RNA from Homo sapiens (human), 2726 nucleotides. Ensembl annotates it as LAMTOR5 and SLC16A4 antisense RNA 1. Its record names the gene LAMTOR5-AS1. The record is from Ensembl. NCBI's taxonomy places the organism in Eukaryota, Metazoa, Chordata, Mammalia, Primates, Hominidae.